GCGAUGGAGAUGGCCUGGCUCUCCAUCAGCAGAUGAGCCAGCAUAUUGGGGAUGGUGACCAGUGUGUAGCAGGUCUCAGAGAGGGAGAGCACGGCCAGGAAGCGGUACAUAGGUGUGUGGAGAGUGCGAUCCACCUGGAUGAUGGUGAUGAUGGUGGCAUUGCCACUGAGUGUGACCAGAUCCUGGCUAAAGCCUGGACAUGAGCCUGCACUUGUCCUCAGAAGCUCACCUCUCCCCCAGCUCCCACCAGGUUGCCGCUUUCCAGCCACAGCUCAAAAGACAUGAAUGUAUCUUCUUCCCCAUCUCUCUAUUCCAGGGAGACUGACAGCUUGCUUGAUCUGUUGCUUUGCUAUUAAACUCUAGUCUAAUUGUG
This is a long non-coding RNA of Mus musculus (house mouse), 373 nucleotides long. RefSeq annotates it as predicted gene, 47944. The record is from RefSeq and is a predicted model, not a curated record. Lineage: Eukaryota; Metazoa; Chordata; Mammalia; Rodentia; Muridae. The transcript has 2 exons.